RNAcentral lists this long non-coding RNA (14976 nucleotides) under Marmota monax (woodchuck). The record is from RNAcentral. Lineage: Eukaryota; Metazoa; Chordata; Mammalia; Rodentia; Sciuridae.
CCUGUUGUGACGUCACGGCGGCGCGCCGGCCUCAGGAGAGGACCCCUAUGCGACCGCGUCCCUUCGGUCCUUGAGCCUGGUCCUUGAGCCUGAGUCCAGCGCGCAGCGAUGGCCUUGAGGCUGCUGAGACUAGUCCCCGCGUCCGCGUCCGCGCGCGGCCUGGCGGGGGGCGCCCCGCGCGUGGUGAGGCGACGGGGCAGUGGGUAGCCCGGCGGGACAGUGGGCGGGCCGGCGGGCCGGGUCGGGUCUCUGCGCGGCGGCUCCGGGACCGCUCUCCGGCGGGGUCCUGCUGCCGGCGGCGUCCUCCGUGGCGGUCCCCAGCGCGGCCAGCUUGGUCGCAGCCGCCGGCGGAGCGCCGCGGCAGACGCACGGCCCGGAGGCGGCGGCUCGCCGGGUCCUGAGCUCACCAGCAGCUUUGCCGGGGGCCUUGGGAAGGGUCAGGCCCUGGGCGGGGCGCCGGGCCCGGGGCCGUCACGAAGAGGACCGCUGGGUGAGAUUCGGAAGCACGAGGGAAACUUCCCACUGUGGGGGUCAGGGAGGUGACCUCGCACGUGCAGAGGACAGGGGCAAAGGAACCGUGGCUGCAGACGCAGGAAACCUUUGGUGGACUUUGGGUGCCGGAGGCUCUGGGCCAUGGCUUUAAAGGGGCUUGGCCGCGAGCUGAGGGAUUGAGCGUGAACAGAGAGGGUGCCGGUCUGAUCUGGAGGAGAGAGGCGCUGGCUGUCCUGCUGUUGUGGGCCUGUGAGGGGGAGCCAGACGCCCAGAGAGCCCGGACCCUCACUGUAACCUGGGCCCGGUGCCCAGCUGUGGCGGCGCGUUCUCUGGGGCGCUUCAGAUUGAACACGGUGUAGGGUAUCCUCAGUGGUCAGGAGGACGCGUGCAAGGGGAAAAGUAGGUCUGUGUUGGACUGGAGGGACAAUUAAAGGAAUCGAAAACGGUUCAUGAAAAGUCGGUUAUUUGUGUUAUUCUGGGCAGCAGGAGAAUGGAGUCAAGGAUGCUUGUCAACCUAGUCUCCUGUGCGUGGACCGUAGGUGGCCAGGUCUUUGCUUUAGAGGCAUUACUCCAGUGAACGUCUUUGAUGUAUAUAGCCCUCUUCCCAUUUUGCUGCUGUGAAUGUGUGUCUAUGUGUAACUUACAAAAUAGUGCAUUCUUUCUUUUAAUUAACUAAAGCUAGGCUUUAUUCAGACUUCAUUAGUUUUUCCCCAGUGUCCAUUUUCUGUCCCAAGAUCCCAUCCAGUGUGUCCUGUAACAUCUGUUGUGUCCUCGGUUGUGUGGAUUUCUCAGACUCUUGUUUCUGGUAACCUUGAUGGUUCUGAGAAGUACUAAGCAGGUGUUUGAUUCUCAGAAACCUGGAGGGUUUGUCUUGGUUGAACUUGGCUGGGAAGAGGACUGCAGAGGUGAAGGGCUACUGGCGUCUCACCAGCACACUAGGAAUAUGACUGUUGGUUGAUGUUGAGGUAGGUCAACUGACUGCUGUGCUGAGGCUGAUUCUCCACUGUGAGGCUGUUCUCCCCCUGCACCCUGUGUUCUUAGGAGGGAGCCCCUUUGUGCCAUGCUUAUGGAGCAGGGUUGUGCUCCUUCCCCUGUAGAGUGUCAAGGUUGGCAAUUUGGACCUCUCCUCCCUGGGUGUGUGAGGAAUCAUGGGUAGUCACUGCUGCAUGUGUUGCCCACGUUGUCGUGGCUGUGUCCCUAUUGGUUUCUUGUUCCUGUGACUUACCGGGUUGUAUGAAUACUGCCUGACUUUUUGACACUACCUUUUUUGCAUAUCAAAAGAUGUGUAGAUGGCAGGUAAGCACAAGAAAAGAUGGCCAAGGCAUCUGUCAUCUGGGAAUCACAAGUGAAAGGACAAAGGAGACAAAAGCAUACAUUUAAUAGAGUGGUAAAAAGCCAAGUGGCUGAAGCCGGAGCAGCUGGCAGGACUGGCGCAAGGCAGGAAUGCCUUCACAGCCUCUGGGUAGUUGCUGUGCCUUCUUUUGCAACCUGUGUUCCCCCCCCCCCCCAAUCCUUCAGUAUUCAAGUAAAUCAAGUGUGAAAAACAUCUGUUUUAUGUAAAUUUUUUUUUGUGUUUGUGGUACUGGGGAUUGGACUUGGGGGGCAUGUUCUCACUGAGCUACAUCUCCAGCCCUUUCCUUAUUGAGACAGGGUCUCACUAAGUUGGCCUCAAAUUUGUAAUCCUCCUGCCUCAGCCUCCUGAGUAGCAGUGGCACACCCAGCUAUUCUUAAUAUUUUAAAUUCUCCUGUAUUCUUUUUUAUAAUAAAGUAUUUUAUUAUUUAAUUAAGUAAGUGGUUAAUAUUUUGUGGUAAGGGUAUACCUUAAAAUUUUAAGCUCCUCCUCUGUUGUUGGAUAAUUGCAUUUGCCAUUAUGAACAAUAUUUCAUCAAGCAUCCUUAUAGGGGAUUCUUUGCACAGAUGAGUGUCCCCUUAGGACAGGUUUCUGGUGCUAGGCUCAGUAGCCUAGAUUUAAGCACCAUUAGCUGUUUAUGAGGGAACUCAUUGUCUUGUCCUAAAAAAUCAAGUAUUUCCUGUUUUGAUGCAUGAAAAAGUGUUUUCUCCUUUGUUGUUGUCUCUUCCAGACAUUUGAAUGUGUGGUUAUCUGCAUACCUAACACUUUAAAAAUGAGCUGUGUAGCUGGGCAUGGUGGACAUAUCUGUAGUCUCGCUGACUCAAGGCUGAGGCAGGAGGAUCACAAGUACAAGGCCAGCCUGGGCAACUUAGUGAGACCUGUCUCAAAAAAUAAGAAGGGCUGGGGGUGCAGCUCAGUAGUAAAGCGAUCCCUGGGCCGAAUCUCUAGUGCCAAAAGGAGCAAGCUGCGAGGUCACCCUUCAUAUGUCUUACUGAUGUGUAGAAUGUCCUUGUACCAAGGCACAUGCUGCUUGGUAUUUUUAUUUGGCGGGAGAUUAUUUUGGCUUCAGUGUGGAGGGCAGAUGGAAGACGCUGGAGACGGCAGGUGAGGCGUCUCACCCUGUGCAUGAGAGCCAUGAGGAUGUCUGCAGAAUCAGGGCAGCAGGGGAGCAAAGUGACACUUUGGCCAGAGGUGGAGGGUCAGGAGUCAGAGUGGUGGUGGGGCUGGAGGAAGGAGGAGGGGAGCUGUUAGGUAGGGGACGCGGCCUGUUGUGAGUGAGAGCAGAUUUAUGGAUUGGGGUUGGAAGUUGUGCUUUGGUUUAGGACUGCUAGCUCACAGGUGUAGGGGACCAGCUGCAGCUUGGGAUGAGCCCAGAGAUGCUUUCCUGGAAAGAGGAGAUGCCCUCUCUGUCUCCCCAGCCGCUUUCUUCCUGCCUUUCUCCCUCCCGCCUGCCAGCCUUCUGCCUUCCAUUUUCAUGGAACAUGGCAAGCAUACUGCAGGCUCCAUUCUGGCCCUGUGCCCCUGGGGUGAGGAGGGUGGGUGUAGGCAGGGCCUGUGCAGCCCUGGGGUAAGGAGGGUGGGUGUAGGCAGACCCUGUGUGCCCUGAUGUGAGGAGGGUGUAGGCAGGGCCUGUGCAGCCCUGGGGUGAGGAGGGUGUAAGCAGGCCCUGUGCGCCCUGGGGUGAGGAGGGUGGGUGUAGGCAGGGCCUGUGCAGCCCUGGGGUAAGGAGGGUGGGUGUAGGCAGACCCUGUGCACCUGGGGUGAGCAGGGUGGGUGUAGGCAGGGCCUGUGCACCUGGGGUGAGGAGGGUGGGUGCAGGCAGACCCUGUGCACCUGGGGUGAGGAGGGUGGGUGUAGGCAGGCCCUGUGCACUCUGGGAUGAGGAGGGUGCCGGUGCUGGCAUUUUUGCCGUUGAUGGGUUUUUGGUGCUGUUAGGUUACUGAUGCCUGCAGUGCUGAAGGGUCACAUGCUGUGGGACGGCGUGUCUUCCAGGGACUGCUUCACACCAGUGCACAGUGCGAGCUGCGGUAUGGGGCUUUGGCAUUCCUGCUUGGUGAAAGGACAACCAAGAAGCUGACGGAGUCCAGCAGAGUGAUCACUGUGGAUGGCAACAUCUGUUCUGGAAAAGGCACACUGGCCAAGGCAAUAGCAGAGAAACUAGGUAUGAGCCACUGCCAUGCGCAGCGGGAUUCCCAGACACAGCUGUGGCCUCCUGCUGACCUCACUGUACUAUCCAGGGGUGGCCCUGGUCCAAGGGAGGUCUUUUACAUUUACAUUUGGUAUGUUUGGAGAAUCAUAGUGUCUCCUGUCCAUGCCGGUUACCAGCUGGAGCUGGACUUGCCUGGGCAGUGCAGGCAACACGUGUACUGUGAGCUGUCCUGUGGGCUCUGUGAUGGCCUCUGCUGCAGAGCUGUGGUUGUUACUCCGACUCACACUGGGUGGAUUGGGAGGUAAGCCAGUGUCACACAGCCGGUCAUUAGAACCCGUGUCCAGUUUUCCACGGUGCCUUCACUGGCAUCCAGUGGCAGCUGCCUGUGUGCACAGAGGACUCCUGUUAGGGGGGGUCAUUCUCUCAGGAGGGCUCUGCCUAUGGGCACAGUAUGGCUGUUCCGCCCUGAUGCGCUCUGGGCGUGUUGUCACCAGCGUCUCUGUCCCCCAGGAUGCACAGCGGAACUGGGGCUGGUUGGCUCCUCAGGUGGCUUCAGACCGGGUUGUGUGUCCUGCAGUCCCCACGAUCCCCCUGCGGGAGUGGGGGUCAGUCGCGCUUCACCAGUACUUCUCCCUCAGGCAUGAAGCACUUUCCUGAAGCAGGGAUCCACUACGCAGACAGCACCACAGGGGACGGGCGGCCCCUGGACGUGGAGUUCAGUGGCAACUGUAGCUUGGAGAAGUUCUAUGACGACCCGAAAAGCAACGAUGGCAACAGCUACCGCCUGCAGUCCUGGCUGUACGCCAGCCGCCUCCUGCAGUACGCAGACGCCCUGGAGCACCUGUUGAGUACAGGUGGGCCGCCCUUCUCAGUCCUCUUUGGGGUCCAGCCCUUGAAAUCCCAUCACUAGUGCUUUUCUGUACAGGUGCUGGGGCAAGUCGUGUCUUUCCAGUAAGAGUAGGAAUGUCUUGAGGUCCCGUUUCUGAUGCUCCAGGGUGAGGUGGACGCACUUCCCUGUGCACUGCAGUGAGCUUCACGCCACAGUGGUGGAGGGCAGUGGGGACACAGAGGCCGCUGGGAGGAAGUGGAGUCACAGUUGGGAAGAGGGGGCUUGAGGGAAGCAGAAGCACAGCGGCCAGCACCGGGUGGUUCUGCGGGGCUGGAGCUGGCUGAUCCACACAGAGCCCGGGGGAAGUUAGAACUGGGGGGCAGGCAGAACACACAGGUGGGGCUGUACAGUCAGGCAGGCAGAGCCCAGGUGCGUGUUGCUCCUACGAACGUGUGUGUUGUGCAGCCUACCUUUUAGGCAUCUCUACCAGGAUGGUGCCCAACUCUCACUGCUGGGCAGUAGCUUGGAUGUGACACUGGUGUUUGGGCCACUCCACUUUCAUUUUGAAGCACACUUCACCCUAUUUUCUGACUACCCAUUUCUUAAAAUUAAAGUCUUUUACUUGUUGAGUGGAAACUGGCCUGUUUCCUUGUGUGCUGUGUUCAUCUUUACGUUGAACACGAAUGCAAGGCCCGUCCAGGAGCCUGGGUUCCACAGGGAGGAGGCUUCUGAAUGAGCAGGUGGGUGGUGACCAGAGGCGGAGGCAGGGUGCCAGGGAGUGAGGGCGUGGAGGGCAGAGGCUCUACAGAAGGGCCAGGGCGCUGGGGCUCUGCUCUUCUAGAGGGGAAGGGGAGGGAGGGCUCUGUCCAGUCCCAGCAGGGCUGAUUGCAAGGGCCUUGUGCCUUGAGCAGUGUGAGUGACCCUUGGGACCAUUGUGACAGUGUGGCAGCAGUGAGGCUGAGAGUCAGGAGAGGGGGCGUCAAAGAAGUAGCCUAGCUGAGAUGGCCGGGUCUUGAGGGCCACGGCAGAGACCGGGUUUUCCUGAGGGAGAGAGGAGGCCAGUGGGAGGGUUGGUGCAGGAAUGAUCCAUGUGGCAGGUGGAAGUGUCCCUCUGCUGUCGGGGACCGGGCGAGGCAGGAUCAGGAAGUGCCAGCAGAGGCGGUGCACAGUGAUUGUGUUUGGUGGUGUUUGGAGAAUGCUGAGACGGCUGGGAUGAGUGGGGUGUGGGUGUGAGGGAGGGACUUGGGACAGCAGCAGAUUGCUGGGCACAGCGAGGUGCAAGGGCUUGGUUAGAAACAGACUCCCCAUGUUUGUGGGACGCCUCUGGGAUGGCUGAUGGAGUGUCCGUGGAGAUGAAAGGUCACUGGAACGGAACGGAGGAGUUUUUGAAAAUGUUUUUUUUCUUAUGAAUUUGACUUUGGUCCUUUGACUACAUUGGCUUGGAAAUGGAAUUGUGUUUUUUUCCCCAUUUCUAAAAUGACCUGACGGUGGGUAGGACUUCCUGCCUGCCUGCCGUCUGAGUCCCGCUGCCCUGUUCUCCACAGGACAAGGCGUGGUCCUGGAGCGCUCCAUCUUCAGCGACUUUGUCUUCCUGGAGGCCAUGUACAACCAGGGCUUCAUCCGCAAGCAGUGUGAGUCCCAGCCCCCCUCCCUGGCAUGUGCGGGCUCUGCCGUGGCUGCCCUGGGCCCGCAGCGCCUUCGGGGAAAGGCCGCGGCCUAGCCUGAUGCCGCUGUGGAAUGCGCCUCACAGAUGGGAGCGACUGAGCUGCCCACCCCCUUCCUCCUGUGGAGUCCCGGGCACUUGAGAGCACACAGCUGACCCACGGCUGCUGACCCUCCUCCAAAGCACCCCAGCCCUGGGCCUGCAGGCUUACCUGUGCUGAGCCAGUCCCCAUGUGCUUCCUGAGGCGUUGGCAGGGGCCGUUUCCUCAGCCUGCCCCUGCAGCGUCCUGGUGGUCACCACAGUCCUUUCCCCUCUCUGGUGUGUUGCUGCUCCAUGUUUUCAGGGGCAGUGGCAUCGUGUGGGGCAUUGACAGUAGCAGGUGAGGGGUAAUGACCUCUGUGAGGGAAGACUGACUUGAGUCAGGGUGGGGUCGGAACCUCUGUGGCCGGGAGUGUGUUGGGCAGUUCUUUGACCAGACCAUGUGGUCAGUCUGCCCACUCCCCACCCUGUGCUGGGGUGGCUGGCGCAGCAGGGAACUAGAGUGCGGAGGUCCGCUUAAGCGUGGCUGUUGAUGAACGGGCCUUCUGGAGUGCCGCUGUGUGCCCAGCUCUGUCUUGGUGUUUGGGACGUGAAGGGGCACCACGCAGGACUCACAAUCCUGGGGGUGGGUGGGGCUUAGAGCAGCACAGUCGGAGGGGCUGCAGUCCAGGGUCCCCAGGCUGCUGUGCAGCGAAGCACACCAGAGGUGUCUGGCCUGCGGGGAGACAGGGAAUUUCCUCCACAGGGGGCCUCCAGGGGUCCCCACAGACGCGAGCCACUCAGUGGGCAGCAGGCCUGUGGGGGGACUGCUGUGGAGGGGUACUGGAGCAGCAGGGCUGGCACCUGGUUAGGGUUAGGGGGCUGGUGACGGCUGCAGAGCCACUGGAUGUGAGUGUGGAGAGGUGGCAGGCGUUGGGGUGGACGGUGCAUGUGGUGAGGGGAGUGGACCGGUGCCCAGAUUGGAGGAGGCUAGGCUGAGACAGGGAGAAAGGACACUGGCAGGCUGGUGGUGGCAUUGUGGAGCAAAGUGGGAGAGUGACGGUGGGUCUGUGAGAGGAGGAUGCAGGGCACAGCACGGUGGGGUGGGUCCCUGUCAGGGCGUCUCGGGGAGGGUCCCUGGGCGAGGCCUUAAGGCAGCGGAAGCCUAUGCUGCAGACCAAGGGCCGGGCUGGGCUGGAGGCAGUUCUGGGCCGCGCGGAGGGCACGUUUGUCUUGGGAGCAGCUGUGCAGUGGGGACAGCUGAGACCAGACCUGGUGCCCUUGCCAGGGAGGUGGAGCCCUGUUAAAGGGUCCACGCCACGUGAGUCACCUGAGAAAUGGGAUGCUGACGAGUCAGGAGGGAGUGGGACUGGGCAGAGUGGGCAGGGCAGGGGAAUGUCACCAACAGUGGGAGAGCCACUUCACCUCCUCCAGGGUCCUUGCCCUUCCUCUAGCCGUGUCCUCGCUGGCCUUGGGCCAGGGCCCAUCCCCAGAGUGCAUCCAGAGUGAGUUUCCAGGAGGAGUGUUUUCUUUAAAGUGAAGUAAUUGUCUCUCAGUGGUCCUUACCUGAUCACCUGCUGUGACUUCUGGAAGGUUCCUCCAUGGCAGCGCCUGCAGAGGCGAGGGUUCCUUGACACUGUGGGUGAAGGUGGUGGCUUCACUCCACACACCGAGUGGUGAUUGGUGUGGCCGGUGUGUGAUGUCCCCUGGGCAGAGUGCUCUGAACAGCACCAGCUCUCCGCAGCACCGUGGCUGUCUUGUGGGGCUGGCCAGUGGGCACUCUCAGUGACGCCUUGGUGGGAUCGUCCCGCCUCAGCUGCGUUGCUGGCUGUGGAGAAGGCCAGGCCUUAGUGCAUUGCUCUGGAGCCCCGCACACACAGCAGGCACCUGUCACACCUCCUAUCCACGUGUGCCUCCCUCCUGCCCGGCAGACGAGGUAGUGGGUGCAUGCUGGCUCUGUCCCUGGGUGCCGUUAGGUUGCAGUGUGAAUCCAUGCUGGACCUCGUCUGAGCUGAGGACACCUGAUGGUUCCAGCGUGUGGACACCGGGUGGAAGGGACACAGGCUCGGUGGCUACUCUGAGUGCAGUGCUGCUGGGUGCAGUGCCCAUGGCCCUGUGGCCAUCUGCCCUUGAGGGCGUGCUCAAUGGCUUCAGCUGACUUAGGAGUGUACGGUUGGCACAAGGCCUGAGGAUGACGUGAGCUCUGCCCUUUACUCAAGGAGGGGUGUGUGCAGAGGCCUGUCGAGGGCCAGUGACAGUGGCCUCUCUUGUGCCAGGUGUGGACCACUACAACGAGGUAAAGAAGAUCACGGCCUGCGAGUACCUGCCUCCCCACCUGGUGAUCUACGUGGAUGUGCCUGUGCCGGAGGUUCAGAGUCGGAUCCAGAAGAAGGGAGAUGUAGGUCCGCCUGUGGAGCCCAUGUUGCUCUCUCAAGGCCAUGUGGGAUUCUGGCGGUCCUCACUGGGGUGACUGACACCAAUCAGGUCACAGCUGAAGAAGGUGCCCAUGUGGGUGGGAGGGCUGGGCCCAGCCGGGCGCCAUCUCCGGUGGGAGCUGCCUUCCCCAGUGCUGCCCAGGCCCCUGUUGUUCCUGGGCCACCCUGGCUGUCCCCGUGGGUGGGGGGGCCUGCUGAGUGCCUCCUUCCUAUUGCUCUUGAAUCGAGCCCCUCCCUCUUUUACCUCCUUCCUGUUUCUAGGAGAGUAGAAGGUUGCUCUCUGCCCUUUGGGCUGGGUCUCAGGUGGCUCCCAGGAGCCCUGCAGGCAAGGUGGAGGGUGCUGGGUGGGCACUGCUGUCCUGGGGCCUUUCUGGCCAGUGCUGCAGUAGGGACAUGUGAUCUCUUUGGUGUGUGAGGAAGAUGCAGGUGACGGCAGCCUGUGUUCCAGGGCCGUCCACUGUGUGGGGUUCAGCGGUCCCUUCUGAAUGGCAGCCUCCUGUUGUCCUUUGCUGUCCCUGGUGGCCUGGGAGACUGACUCCUCAUCUCAGGUCAAGCAUGUGUGAGACUUGCAGUGUCCCUGCUCAUCCUCUCUGUGCCUCAAGCUGCCUGAGAGGCUGCUCCUGGUAUGAUCAGUGACUUAGACUGGGGACAUGCCCUCAGGCGGCAAAAGGAGGGACCUGCAAGUUAACAAUGUUUGAUCCUUUGCCAGUGGAAUAAGGUGACACUUCCCAUGCUAACAUUCAUUGAGAAAAUCUAGGGCAUGUAUUCCAAAUUCUCAAGGUAACUAUUUUGUUAUCUUAGACAACAACAUUUUGGAAAUAAUUCUGAAGUCAAAAUUAGAGAUAUCAGUUUUUUUCCCAAGUAAAGUGUCAGAUGAAUGAUGUCAUCAGCUGAAACGAGCACUGAGCGAGACACUCGGAGACCUCGGGCCAGAGAGAUGGUAGCAGAGGCCUGUGUCCUGUCUCUCUGUGCAGGCUGUGCCUGUACCUUGGGCCUUUGGAAAUAGCCCCUUCCCUGCUCCAGGACAGCUGGUCCUGGUCACCGGAUGCUGGCUGGCGUUUGUGGUUCACAUUUCUGUGGUGUUUAUGGGGCUGGGGUUUUGGUCACAUUAGGGGUGAUCUUCUUUCACUCUGGGCCGUAGCCAGUGUGGGCUCCCCCGCACUCCUCUAGUGCUGGGUGCCUCCUGCAGGCUGGCUCUGGGAGCUCACCUGCCCUGUGCCGGGUCCUUGCUGACACACGCCCGGUAACAGCAGCUUUCCUGAGGGAGUGGCCCCUUUGUGGACAGAGCCAUGAGGGUGCAGCUGGUCGUGUGGUCCCAGGCCUGGCUGGUGUUGGGCUGCGAGCACUCCAGAGAUGCUCCAGAGUGAUUUUAAUGUUUUUUUCUUUUUCUUUUUUUAACAGCUUUACUGAGGUAUAAUUUAUACUUUUUAAAAUUCACCCAAUUUAAGGUAUAACUCAAUGAUUUUUAGCAAAGUCACCAAAUCAUGGCAACUACACCAUCAGCCAGUUCUAGGAUAUUUUUAUCAUUUUGUGAAGUCAAAACAGUAGGCUUAAUGCUUUCUCCCCCUCCCCCGACAAGUAUUCACCAGCGCCCCGGCAGCGGACAGCUGUGUGUGGGCAGUGCGGGCGAGUUCCGCACUCAGUGGGCACGCGCUCUCCUGGCAGGCCCUUGGUAACAGGACGGGAAUGCGCACAGUGCGUCAGACAGAAGCAGAGGCACAAGUAGGAGAGAAGUGCAGAAAGAGAGCGCAGGUUGCCAAGGGCAGGGCAUCUUGGGUUCCAGCCCGGCCCCGCGUGAUGUGAUUGUAUUCAAGGAUUAAUACGGGGCUGGGGCUCAGAGGUAGAGCCCUCGCCUAGCCUGCGUGGGCACUGGGUUCGAACCUCAGCACCACAUAAAUAUAAAAUAAAGAUUCUGUGUCCACCUAUAACUAAAAAAAAUAUUAAAGAAAUUGACUUCAGAUGAUAAUGGAGGCGAGAGAUCGGGAGCGUGGGGAUGGUAAGAAGGGAGGUGUGGAGAGAUGCAGAGAGGGUCUGCGACAAAGAGCGGGUGCUGAGGGCAAGCUGGGGCGAGGCCAGCGGCCUCCAUGGUGGCUGUGACCCUUUGUUGCCUGUACUUGGGCCCAAGUGCAACAGCGCAGCCUCUAAGGGGCUUCCAGAGCCUGUGCAGGAAGGUCCUGCUGGGCCUCCCCUGGGACCCUGCAGGGCUCCCCACCACUCAGUGGUUUGCACUGUACACAUGCACAGGUAAAAGAACAACGUCAGACUGUCCCUGUGUGAAUUUUCUGUUUUGUUUAGCCACAUGAAAUGAAGAUCACCUCUGCCUACCUCCAGGACAUUGAGAAUGCCUAUAAGAAAACCUUCCUCCCCGAGAUGAGGUGAGCCAAGCUCGCGCCGACCGCAGGAGCAGCGCUGCUCCUUCACGAAUCGGUCCUCACCCCGCAGCCCUGGGAGUGGGCUCUGGCUCAGGGCCGUGCUGGGGGUUGUCUGGGCGUCCAGUGUUUUUGAGCAAACAUUGUAGGAGACAUUGCAGUUGAUCUUUGUGAGAUGAUUUGUUUCAUCCUUAAAAUUUGGGGGGGCACAAAGAAACACCCAGUCUGUGUCAGGGUUUAGCACUGGAGGGCUCAUGUGUUUUCACUUCAGGGGACAACUGAACAUUCCUGUCCACCUAGAAGGGCUGCUCGAAGCACUUGGCCUCCCUGUUGGGUGUGGCCACAAGAAGUGAGGUGGGGCAAGUCUCUGGGUGCUUCCUACUCCCAUCUCCAGAGGGCUGGCACCGAUGGGGAGCCAGACCUCCUUCCUCUUCCCGUUGGAAAGCUGGGAGAGGCAUCUUUCUGUACACACUCUAGCUUGUCGUCCUGGGGUCCUUGGGUGUCCAUGUUACUGCUGUCACUCAGGUCCAGUUACAGCUGGGUUGUUUGAAUAAGGCUUUUAUUAAAGGUUUUCAGUAGGAUAAUGUACUUCUAAGUUUCAUACUUCUUCAAAACUUAACCCUCUUUUGAUACCUAAAAACUUAACGCUCAUGUUUAAAAUUUCAAAGUAAUCAAAAAUUGUGAAUUAAACAAAGUGUAGUAAUUUUGAAAAGAAGCUUUGUGUUUGAACUGAGAGUGUCUCGCUGUGAGGUGGUGCUGAGGUCACGGAGCUGUUCUUCCUCAGCCUGUUCUGUUUUCAAGACCAGAAGUGCCCCCCCCCCAAAAAAAAAAGGCUGUUUGCCCAUCUGUGCCCAGGGGAGUAUGCAGAGCUGCGUGAGCCGCAUGAGCAGAGACCGUGACCCCAGAAUUUCUGUCCAGAGUCUCCUCCUGACCUCUGUCCAGAGUCUCCUCCCUCCAUGGCAGGGAGCUCCAGGGGUCUGGUGUUGUCUAGGGGUGGGUCCUGCAGGCUGCUGGUGGGCAGAGACAUGAGCAGUGGUUCUGAGCGCCCUGCCCUGGUGCGCUGUGGGCUUGGGCUGCACAGGAGGGUCGCUCCUGAGGUCCCACAUUCCGAGGUGCUGGAACUCUGCUGCCACCUCCUCCAUAUGGUGUCCCCAUGGUGAUGGGGACCUGCCGUGUGGAGCAGAAGCUCAGAGCCUGACAUUCACCUCAGGUCACCUCAGGUCUGGCCAUGGCUUGCUGGGUAGAGCCCCAGGAGCCGUUUCUGGGUUGUGCAGUCUGGGUAGCUUCUGAGGACGUGUGUCUCAGAGCCCUGCAAGCCAGCCUUGCUGGGACACUGCUGCUGCCCAGGCCGCAGCCUGCCCACCCUACCUAUUGAGCUGGAUGUCAGCCUGGGGCGGAUCCCCGUCUUUUUCUGCAGCGUCCUGUCCUCUUGUCUUUCACACACAGCCCGUCCUUUCAUCAGAAACCGUGAUGACCAGAGCUGGCCUCCUGCAGCUCUGCAGACCACUGGGUGCCAGUGUCCCCACCACUGUGGCAGGGGCAGUGGCUGUGUGAGUGCCUUGAGGGGCGCUGUUCUCUGAUUGAGCCUUUCCAUGUGGACCUUCAAGGCCACUGCUACUCCCUGGCUGUGCUGGGCUAUACCUCACCCUGGGGGGGCAGCUUCCCUGACUGCCCGGGGGGCACUGGAGUCUGAAGAUCUAGGGGUACAGCGAGCCACCUUCCUGGGGUCCUUAGGCCUCUUUUUCUGUAGUGUAACCUUAUUAAAUUCCCAGGUCUGUUGUGUGGUCUCUCUGUUUACAAGGGACAAGUAGGCAUCAGAGACGCCCUGAGGAUGGCUGGUUCUGUUGGCAGAGCUGGUGGCACCCGUCCUGCAUGGAGCUGCUUCUGACGGGCAGCAAGGAUGCUCACUUGCCCCCCUCUUCAUUCUGUGCGAUCCCGCCUCCCUCUGGUGCUGUCCAAGCCCACGCUGAACGGUUGCUUUGCGAAUCCUCACUCCCGGGGUAUCGGGCAAACCAGGACAGGACUGUAAAGACUGCUCUGUGGUCAGGUGAGCAGGCACCCUCUCCAGGGCCUGCUGGCCUGCUGUGCUUGCCGCCCGCCUACUGCAGGGCUGGGUGGAGCCCUGUGCUCGGGGGCACUGUGCGUACACAGUGUAGGCACACGUAUGAGGUUUCGUGUGUCGUUGGUUUGUGGGGUUUUCUGCGUGACUGUGUCAUACCAUGCAUUGUUCAAACAUUCUGGUUACAACCUCUCCUGCUCCACAGAUUCAGUAAGCUGCGAGCGUUUGGACAGAUGCAGUCUCUGUUCAUUGUUACGGUGAAUUCUUCCUAGACAGCCACAUAGCUUAUGUGUCAUUUGUCAAGAUUAGGAGGAUAAGGUCCUGAAGUCCUCUGUGCAGUGUUCGUUACUUUAAGCACGAAGUGUAGACCAGUGUCAUGCUGCAGCUCUGGGAAGGAUUGGGACCUAACAGUCUUCUCUCAGAAAUUUGCUAUGGAAUUUGACUAUUUCAAUUAAAAUUUCAGGACAAAUAGGUCACAGCCUAAGGUUUCUAUGUCAUUUGUGCUUUAGAAUCUGAGGGUGCUUUGCAGCAGUGGUAGUUGGGGGUUUUCUGGCUGAAGAGUGUCCAGCAUCUGCCAUGCUGGGCGGUGAGGGCACUGUAGUGGUCCUCCUGGUCUGGCUUACCAAAUGGCCUGCCAGUCCACACAGCUGCUCUGGAGGUGGACAGAGGCAGCUCCUUUGCAGGGUGAGGCCCACCUGUGUCAUGUCAGCUUGUGGGUUUUCAAGCAUCCAAGGCAGGACAGCCAAGGCCACUAGAUGGUCAGUGAGAUCUGUGGGGGGAGGCGUUGCCGGCAGCAGUGAACUCUGCCCCUUCUUUUUGAGACAGAGUUGAGCGGUUGAUUAUCCAGUGUCCAGAUGAAGGACUGAGGACCAGGGGCCUGGGGAGCUGCUACCAUCUGUGUGGUUUGGUUUGGUCUGGUUCUCCUGGGAGUUUACUGUGUCCCUGGGUUUUGAAUUCCAGCAGUUCAGACAUUCUGCACCCCACAACCUCUGCCUAUUGCCCUUGGUGCCGUGUUUGGUGAGGCCUGGCCACAUUGUCCUCUCCUGUAACCAGAGCUGUGGCCAGUGUGGGUGUGGCAGGUGGUGGCCCAUGCACCACUCCUUGGGCAUCACAGUCCAGGGAGUGGAGCCAGGGCAAAGACCAGCAGUUACGGCCACCAGGCCAUGGCACGUUGCUACUGCCCUGCUGCGCGGCAGGACAGCCCCAGCCCGGUGCCUGGUCAGGGCCACAGAGUGUUAGUGGAGCGGGAGAUGUGUGUGGCCUGUGUUGGCGCACGUGUGCACUGCGGCGCGGGAAGGCUUAUGUGGAAUUUCUGCUUUUCCCUGCAGUGAGAAGUGUGAGGUCUUGGUCUACAGUGCGCGGGAGGCUGAGGAUGCGGAAAAGGUGAGCAGACGUGUAGCAUGGUGAGUGCCCCUCCCUGUGGUUCCCAGGUGCCGUUCUAGAGGCUCAUCUACCCAGUUCCAUUCCACUGUCUUUGCGACCAUCAGUGUUUCGUGGUCCAGAAGCAGCAUCCAGCCAGCCCAUCACCUCCUGUGGCUGUGACAUUUUGACUUUUUAAAAAAACAGCUUUAUGAUCUUAAAAUGGUGAGCAGUGAAGAUGCAGAACCUUGG